GGAGACCGUCGGCGACGAGAGGCCAGAGGAGGGGGAGAAGAGGGAUCGGUUUGGGGCUUGAAAUGGAUGGGGAGGGUGGGUUUUAAAUGAGGUGGAGAGUCAGUUUCCAAUUAGAAACAGAGGAACGAGACAUGGGAGGAAUUCAGAGAGGGGGUGGAGUGAAAGAGGGCGAGGGUUUCGACUAAACGGAAGGCGGGGUAAGUGUGAAUUUUAGCGGCAUAUGAGACGAGUUCGUCGACGCUUAAAAGCGUCGUAAAAGUUUCAUCCUCCGACGCUCGCGAUAAGCAUCAGCAUAUGAGAGUGG
This 304-nucleotide long non-coding RNA is filed under the name Elaeis guineensis (African oil palm). Its description in RNAcentral is "long non-coding RNA (EGUI_LNC029202)". The record is from RNAcentral. Lineage: Eukaryota; Viridiplantae; Streptophyta; Magnoliopsida; Arecales; Arecaceae.